GUUGAGUGGGAAUAGGCUAGUAAAUCAAUUUGGAGUGUUGACGCUGAUUUAGCAACACUUUGUUACUGUAAAACUAGCAUAAUUUCAAUUAAAUACAAAUCGUGCCCCACCAAAUACCCCACCAAGAAUUUCGGUGGGGUAUUGUUU
RNAcentral lists this small RNA (147 nucleotides) under Enterococcus malodoratus. RNAcentral's name for it is "Listeria sRNA rli38". It matches the Rfam family "Listeria sRNA rli38". Lineage: Bacteria; Bacillati; Bacillota; Bacilli; Lactobacillales; Enterococcaceae. The record is from RNAcentral.